GACGAACGCUGGCGGCGUGCUUAACACAUGCAAGUCGAACGGAAAGGCCCUGCUUUUGUGGUGUGCUCGAGUGGCGAACGGGUGAGUAACGCGUGAGUAACCUGCCCUUGACUUUGGGAUAACUUCAGGAAACUGGGGCUAAUACCGGAUAGGAGCUCCUGCUGCAUGGUGGGGGUUGGAAAGUUUCGGCGGUUUGGGAUGGACUCGCGGCUUAUCAGCUUGUUGGUGGGGUAGUGGCUUACCAAGGCUUUGACGGGUAGCCGGCCUGAGAGGGUGACCGGCCACAUUGGGACUGAGAUACGGCCCAGAGUCCUACGGGAGGCAGCAGUGGGGAAUAUUGCACAAUGGGCGGAAGCCUGAUGCAGCAACGCCGCGUGCGGGAUGACGGCCUUCGGGUUGUAAACCGCUUUCGCCUGUGACGAAGCGUGAGUGACGGUAAUGGGUAAAGAAGCACCGGCUAACUACGUG
This 468-nucleotide ribosomal RNA is filed under the name uncultured bacterium. RNAcentral describes it as "partial 16S ribosomal RNA". It matches the Rfam family "Bacterial small subunit ribosomal RNA", at positions 28 to 507 of the family's 1533-position model. The record is from RNAcentral.